AGCGUACACGGUGGAUGCCCUGGCAGUCAGAGGCGAUGAAGGACGUGCUAAUCUGCGAUAAGCGUCGGUAAGGUGAUAUGAACCGUUAUAACCGGCGAUUUCCGAAUGGGGAAACCCAGUGUGAUUCGUCACACUAUCAUUAACUGAAUCCAUAGGUUAAUGAGGCGAACCGGGGGAACUGAAACAUCUAAGUACCCCGAGGAAAAGAAAUCAACCGAGAUUCCCCCAGUAGCGGCGAGCGAACGGGGAGCAGCCCAGAGCCUGAAUCAGUGUGUGUGUUAGUGGAAGCGUCUGGAAAGGCGCGCGAUACAGGGUGACAGCCCCGUACACAAAAAUGCACAUACUGUGAGCUCGAUGAGUAGGGCGGGACACGUGGUAUCCUGUCUGAAUAUGGGGGGACCAUCCUCCAAGGCUAAAUACUCCUGACUGACCGAUAGUGAACCAGUACCGUGAGGGAAAGGCGAAAAGAACCCCGGCGAGGGGAGUGAAAAAGAACCUGAAACCGUGUACGUACAAGCAGUGGGAGCACAGAGCAAUCUGUGUGACUGCGUACCUUUUGUAUAAUGGGUCAGCGACUUAUAUUCUGUAGCAAGGUUAACCGAAUAGGGGAGCCGAAGGGAAACCGAGUCUUAACUGGGCGUUAAGUUGCAGGGUAUAGACCCGAAACCCGGUGAUCUAGCCAUGGGCAGGUUGAAGGUUGGGUAACACUAACUGGAGGACCGAACCGACUAAUGUUGAAAAAUUAGCGGAUGACUUGUGGCUGGGGGUGAAAGGCCAAUCAAACCGGGAGAUAGCUGGUUCUCCCCGAAAGCUAUUUAGGUAGCGCCUCGUGAAUUCAUCUCCGGGGGUAGAGCACUGUUUCGGCAAGGGGGUCAUCCCGACUUACCAACCCGAUGCAAACUGCGAAUACCGGAGAAUGUUAUCACGGGAGACACACGGCGGGUGCUAACGUCCGUCGUGAAGAGGGAAACAACCCAGACCGCCAGCUAAGGUCCCAAAGUCAUGGUUAAGUGGGAAACGAUGUGGGAAGGCCCAGACAGCCAGGAUGUUGGCUUAGAAGCAGCCAUCAUUUAAAGAAAGCGUAAUAGCUCACUGGUCGAGUCGGCCUGCGCGGAAGAUGUAACGGGGCUAAACCAUGCACCGAAGCUGCGGCAGCGACGCUGAUGCGUUGUUGGGUAGGGGAGCGUUCUGUAAGCCUGUGAAGGUGUGCUGUGAGGCAUGCUGGAGGUAUCAGAAGUGCGAAUGCUGACAUAAGUAACGAUAAAGCGGGUGAAAAGCCCGCUCGCCGGAAGACCAAGGGUUCCUGUCCAACGUUAAUCGGGGCAGGGUGAGUCGACCCCUAAGGCGAGGCCGAAAGGCGUAGUCGAUGGGAAACAGGUUAAUAUUCCUGUACUUGGUGUUACUGCGAAGGGGGGACGGAGAAGGCUAUGUUGGCCGGGCGACGGUUGUCCCGGUUUAAGCGUGUAGGCUGGUUUUCCAGGCAAAUCCGGAAAAUCAAGGCUGAGGCGUGAUGACGAGGCACUACGGUGCUGAAGCAACAAAUGCCCUGCUUCCAGGAAAAGCCUCUAAGCAUCAGGUAACAUCAAAUCGUACCCCAAACCGACACAGGUGGUCAGGUAGAGAAUACCAAGGCGCUUGAGAGAACUCGGGUGAAGGAACUAGGCAAAAUGGUGCCGUAACUUCGGGAGAAGGCACGCUGAUAUGUAGGUGAAGCGACUUGCUCGUGGAGCUGAAAUCAGUCGAAGAUACCAGCUGGCUGCAACUGUUUAUUAAAAACACAGCACUGUGCAAACACGAAAGUGGACGUAUACGGUGUGACGCCUGCCCGGUGCCGGAAGGUUAAUUGAUGGGGUUAGCGCAAGCGAAGCUCUUGAUCGAAGCCCCGGUAAACGGCGGCCGUAACUAUAACGGUCCUAAGGUAGCGAAAUUCCUUGUCGGGUAAGUUCCGACCUGCACGAAUGGCGUAAUGAUGGCCAGGCUGUCUCCACCCGAGACUCAGUGAAAUUGAACUCGCUGUGAAGAUGCAGUGUACCCGCGGCAAGACGGAAAGACCCCGUGAACCUUUACUAUAGCUUGACACUGAACAUUGAGCCUUGAUGUGUAGGAUAGGUGGGAGGCUUUGAAGUGUGGACGCCAGUCUGCAUGGAGCCGACCUUGAAAUACCACCCUUUAAUGUUUGAUGUUCUAACGUUGACCCGUGAUCCGGGUUGCGGACAGUGUCUGGUGGGUAGUUUGACUGGGGCGGUCUCCUCCUAAAGAGUAACGGAGGAGCACGAAGGUUGGCUAAUCCUGGUCGGACAUCAGGAGGUUAGUGCAAUGGCAUAAGCCAGCUUGACUGCGAGCGUGACGGCGCGAGCAGGUGCGAAAGCAGGUCAUAGUGAUCCGGUGGUUCUGAAUGGAAGGGCCAUCGCUCAACGGAUAAAAGGUACUCCGGGGAUAACAGGCUGAUACCGCCCAAGAGUUCAUAUCGACGGCGGUGUUUGGCACCUCGAUGUCGGCUCAUCACAUCCUGGGGCUGAAGUAGGUCCCAAGGGUAUGGCUGUUCGCCAUUUAAAGUGGUACGCGAGCUGGGUUUAGAACGUCGUGAGACAGUUCGGUCCCUAUCUGCCGUGGGCGCUGGAGAACUGAGGGGGGCUGCUCCUAGUACGAGAGGACCGGAGUGGACGCAUCACUGGUGUUCGGGUUGUCAUGCCAAUGGCACUGCCCGGUAGCUAAAUGCGGAAGAGAUAAGUGCUGAAAGCAUCUAAGCACGAAACUUGCCCCGAGAUGAGUUCUCCCUGACUCCUUGA
RNAcentral lists this ribosomal RNA (2789 nucleotides) under Escherichia coli. RNAcentral's name for it is "bacterial LSU rRNA". It matches the Rfam family "Bacterial large subunit ribosomal RNA". The record is from RNAcentral. Lineage: Bacteria; Pseudomonadati; Pseudomonadota; Gammaproteobacteria; Enterobacterales; Enterobacteriaceae.